UUUCCAUUAUGCACACGACGUCUUCAAGGUAACCAUUCUCCCCGACCUCUGAGAACAGAGCCCAGGGUUUGGUCUCUGCCAUCGCCUGGAUUUGUGUGUGGCUCUCC
Molecule: long non-coding RNA, 107 nt
Organism: Salarias fasciatus (jewelled blenny)
Lineage: Eukaryota; Metazoa; Chordata; Actinopteri; Blenniiformes; Blenniidae
Exons: 3
Source: RefSeq, a predicted model, not a curated record